Molecule: ribosomal RNA, 978 nt
Filed under: Russula sp.
Lineage: Eukaryota; Fungi; Basidiomycota; Agaricomycetes; Russulales; Russulaceae
Description: partial 28S large subunit ribosomal RNA
Rfam family: Eukaryotic large subunit ribosomal RNA
Source: RNAcentral
CCUGGGAACUAAGCAUAUCAAUAAGCGGAGGAAAAGAAACUAACAAGGAUUCCCCUAGUAACUGCGAGUGAAGCGGGAAAAGCUCAAAUUUAAAAUCUGGUGGUCUUUGGCCAUCCGAGUUGUAAUUUAGAGAAGCGUCUUCCGCGCUGGACCGUGCACAAGUCUCCUGGAAUGGAGCGUCACAGAGGGUGAGAAUCCCGUCUUUGGCACGGACACACCAGGGCUUUUGUGAUGCGCUCUCGAAGAGUCGAGUUGUUUGGGAAUGCAGCUCAAAAUGGGUGGUGAACUCCAUCUAAAGCUAAAUAUUGGCGAGAGACCGAUAGCGAACAAGUACCGUGAGGGAAAGAUGAAAAGCACUUUGGAAAGAGAGUGAAACAGUACGUGAAAUUGUUGAAAGGGAAACGCUUGAAGUCAGUCGCGUCGACCGAGACUCAGCCUUGCCUUGGCUCGGUGUACUUCUCGGCCGACGGGUCAGCAUCAAUUUUGCCCCUUGGAUAAUGGCGAGGGAAAUGUGACACCUUUAUGGUGUGUUAUAGUCUCUUGUCGCAUGCAAGGGUUGGGAUUGAGGAACUCAGCACGCGCCUUUGGGUGUCGGGGCUUUGCCCACGAUACGUGCUUAGGAUGUUGGCGUAAUGGCUUUAAACGACCCGUCUUGAAACACGGACCAAGGAGUCUAACAUGCCUGCGAGUGUUCGGGUGGAAAACCCGUGCGCGCAAUGAAAGUGAAAGUCGGGACCUCUGUCGUGGAGGGCACCGACGCCCGGACCAGACCUUCUGUGACGGCUCUGCGGUAGAGCAUGCAUGUUAGGACCCGAAAGAUGGUGAACUAUGCCUGAAUAGGGUGAAGCCAGAGGAAACUCUGGUGGAGGCUCGUAGCGAUUCUGACGUGCAAAUCGAUCGUCAAAUUUGGGUAUAGGGGCGAAAGACUAAUCGAACCAUCUAGUAGCUGGUUCCUGCCGAAUUUCCCUCCAGAAAAAA